This is a non-coding RNA of Populus trichocarpa (black cottonwood), 88 nucleotides long. The record is from Rfam. Lineage: Eukaryota; Viridiplantae; Streptophyta; Magnoliopsida; Malpighiales; Salicaceae.
CUUUUUAGGGUUAAAACGUCAACAUUUUAGACGAGUCUUUUAUUUUUAAGGAUUGAUGUCAUUUUGACGUCUCUUAUUUUUAGAAACC